RNAcentral lists this ribosomal RNA (1378 nucleotides) under metagenome. RNAcentral's name for it is "bacterial SSU rRNA". It matches the Rfam family "Bacterial small subunit ribosomal RNA", at positions 11 to 1372 of the family's 1533-position model. The record is from RNAcentral.
GUUUGAUCCUGGCUCAGGACGAACGCUGGCGGCGUGCCUAAUACAUGCAAGUCGAGCGGACAGAUGGGAGCUUGCUCCCUGAUGUUAGCGGCGGACGGGUGAGUAACACGUGGGUAACCUGCCUGUAAGACUGGGAUAACUCCGGGAAACCGGGGCUAAUACCGGAUGGUUGUUUGAACCGCAUGGUUCAAACAUAAAAGGUGGCUUCGGCUACCACUUACAGAUGGACCCGCGGCGCAUUAGCUAGUUGGUGAGGUAACGGCUCACCAAGGCGACGAUGCGUAGCCGACCUGAGAGGGUGAUCGGCCACACUGGGACUGAGACACGGCCCAGACUCCUACGGGAGGCAGCAGUAGGGAAUCUUCCGCAAUGGACGAAAGUCUGACGGAGCAACGCCGCGUGAGUGAUGAAGGUUUACGGAUCGUAAAGCUCUGUUGUUAGGGAAGAACAAGUGCCGUUCGAAUAGGGCGGUACCUUGACGGUACCUAACCAGAAAGCCACGGCUAACUACGUGCCAGCAGCCGCGGUAAUACGUAGGUGGCAAGCGUUGUCCGGAAUUAUUGGGCGUAAAGGGCUCGCAGGCGGUUUCUUAAGUCUGAUGUGAAAGCCCCCGGCUCAACCGGGGAGGGUCAUUGGAAACUGGGGAACUUGAGUGCAGAAGAGGAGAGUGGAAUUCCACGUGUAGCGGUGAAAUGCGUAGAGAUGUGGAGGAACACCAGUGGCGAAGGCGACUCUCUGGUCUGUAACUGACGCUGAGGAGCGAAAGCGUGGGGAGCGAACAGGAUUAGAUACCCUGGUAGUCCACGCCGUAAACGAUGAGUGCUAAGUGUUAGGGGGUUUCCGCCCCUUAGUGCUGCAGCUAACGCAUUAAGCACUCCGCCUGGGGAGUACGGUCGCAAGACUGAAACUCAAAGGAAUUGACGGGGGCCCGCACAAGCGGUGGAGCAUGUGGUUUAAUUCGAAGCAACGCGAAGAACCUUACCAGGUCUUGACAUCCUCUGACAAUCCUAGAGAUAGGACGUCCCCUUCGGGGGCAGAGUGACAGGUGGUGCAUGGUUGUCGUCAGCUCGUGUCGUGAGAUGUUGGGUUAAGUCCCGCAACGAGCGCAACCCUUGAUCUUAGUUGUCAGCAUUCAGUUGGGCACUCUAAGGUGACUGCCGGUGACAAACCGGAGGAAGGUGGGGAUGACGUCAAAUCAUCAUGCCCCUUAUGACCUGGGCUACACACGUGCUACAAUGGACAGAACAAAGGGCAGCGAAACCGCGAGGUUAAGCCAAUCCCACAAAUCUGUUCUCAGUUCGGAUCGCAGUCUGCAACUCGACUGCGUGAAGCUGGAAUCGCUAGUAAUCGCGGAUCAGCAUGCCGCGGUGAAUACGUU